AUUGAACGCUGGCGGCAGGCCUAACACAUGCAAGUCGAGCGGAUGAAGGGAGCUUGCUCCUGGAUUCAGCGGCGGACGGGUGAGUAAUGCCUAGGAAUCUGCCUGGUAGUGGGGGAUAACGUCCGGAAACGGGCGCUAAUACCACAUACGUCAUGAGGGAGAAAGUGGGGGUUCUUCGGACCUCACGCUAUCAGAUGAGCCUAGGUCGGAUUAGCUAGUUGGUGGGGUAAAGGCCUACCAAGGCGACGAUCCGUAACUGGUCUGAGAGGAUGAUCAGUCACACGGGAACGGGGAAAGGGUCCGGACUCCUACGGGAGGCAGAGGUGGGGAAUAUUGGACAAUGGGCGAAAGCCUGAUGCAGCCAUGCGGCGUGUGUGAGGAAGGUCUUCGGAUGGUAAAGCACUUUAAGUUGGGAGGAAGGGCAGUAAGGUGAAACCUUGCUGUUUUGACGGUACCAACAGAGAAAGCACCGGCUAACUACGUG
This 484-nucleotide ribosomal RNA is filed under the name uncultured bacterium. Its description in RNAcentral is "partial 16S ribosomal RNA". It matches the Rfam family "Bacterial small subunit ribosomal RNA", at positions 29 to 507 of the family's 1533-position model. The record is from RNAcentral.